Long non-coding RNA from Elaeis guineensis (African oil palm), 1488 nucleotides. RefSeq lists it as uncharacterized. The record is from RefSeq and is a predicted model, not a curated record. Lineage: Eukaryota; Viridiplantae; Streptophyta; Magnoliopsida; Arecales; Arecaceae.
UCGCCGAGUGGAUUUCUCUUGCUCGGGGGCAUCAUCCAUGUACAUCUUCGCUCCUUAGCGCGUCCGGUAUCUCCGUUCUCAGCUCCCUGCUACCGCUACCGUCCUACAGGGGGAGGGUGGUUCUUUUGGUCCACGUCAAGCCAUUAUUUGGCCCCCAUCGUCCUCUCUUCUGACGGCAAACCCCUCUAAGAAAAGGAGAAAUUAAGGGGCACGAGUGGAGGGGAUGACGCGAGGGCGGCUUCCUCCGCCAUGGCCGUACCACCGGACACCAACGGUCCUUCUCCGGCGCCUGCUGCCUCUGCCUCCACCUCCGCGACAUCCAUCUCCUCUCCCCUUAAGAGGGCUGGAACUUGCCGCCGAGAGCGGGACCAACUCACUAUGCCCAACGUGGACACGGUUGAGGAGGAGGAGAAUCGCGACGGUGGUCAGAGGGAUCGAUCUCAGUAACCCUCGAGACGGACUCGGAGAGAAGCCCCUGUUAAACUUCUUCUCACGUGUAUUCGUGGUCCAGACGCCAGCAUGGAAUAUUAAGGAGACCGAUGGAGAACCUACGGAGGUUUACAGAGGGAAAUAAAUGGAGAACAAAUGCUAACGAGAAACCGAGAAUAGAUCGAGUGUGAUGCUUCGGUACUCAAAGCCCGCAUGACUUGCUGUGAAAACACUGCUGAUGUUCUUCAACCUCCACCUGGAAGAAGCUUGUUCGCUAUACCAUGCCACUGACUGGUUUCUAAGCCAGCAUAUUUGCUGCCCAGAAAAGGAGACAUAAAGCAACAAUCCGAUACCACCGAUGCUUCAAACAUCCAGCUGGAAUUUGCAGCUUGUCUGCUAAUUGCUACUGUAUUGCUGGGCCUGUCUCAAUAGGCUGAACCAAGUCACACCUCAUCCAUGGCUCCAACUCAGCCUCCAAGCUACCAUGUCCACCUAAUAGGAAGCGGAGGAAGGAGAGACCACAUAUAGACCAAAAAAGGACACCAAGAGAAAGGAGGGAUGAUGCAAAAAUUAUUGAAGAUCAAAUGCUCAAGACUUGGGAAGGGCACGAUAGCUACAAAAAUCAGCCAUUGAAGCAUGCAGGUCGCUGAUCAAUUCAAUAAAGAGAUAAGACAUUGGGGCAGCAAUUAAAAUAUUUUAGGCCCCCAUCCAGCUACAAGGACCAUUUGUAAAGCAAGGAGUUACUGGAAUGUCAUCCAACAACCCCAAAUUUAUUGUUCAUUGGUUAUCUUUUGAAUUUUCUUUAAUUUUUUAAUAUACAAAUGUCAUAUUAGUUUUGAAGUUAAUAGAAGCAAGGUUUUACGUCCUGGAGGACAUCCUAGUGAUCCCAUCCCUAUGAGAACAUAAGACUAGGAUGAUGUCGGGAUUUUCGAAAUCCAUCCAUGCAGAGAGAAGAAGAAGAAAGAGGAAAGAAAGAAAGAAAAGAUAAAUAAAAGGAAAAACUGAAAGGAAAGGAAAAAAAAUGAAAGAAAGAAAGGAAAGGAGAAGAAAAAGAAAAAA